Cavia porcellus (domestic guinea pig) is the source of this 3012-nucleotide long non-coding RNA. Lineage: Eukaryota; Metazoa; Chordata; Mammalia; Rodentia; Caviidae. The record is from Ensembl.
CGUGGGCGCGGCUGCAGGACCGUGGCCGAACGGUAGAGGCCUCCCUUCCGAGGAGGUGGCUCGAACUUCUCGGGCCGGGGAUCUGCUCCCCUGCUCGUCCUUCCCAGCGAGGUCCCGGCGCGGCCGGGCCCAGAGCGGCCCUUACCCACCUGCUGUCCUCCCCCUGCAGGCGGCAGCGCCUGUUUUCUGAGUUUCACUAGACCAUAUAGCCACAUUCAUGACUUAGAGGAGAACAAGAAGCUGACUUGAGUUCCACAUAAUUGGCUUAGUUGGUCAACUAUGAACAUUUUUAAAAAAUCUUUUCCAGUUGGGCCUGGAGAUUUAGCUCAGCGUAUAAGCAUCUGCCUUGCAAGCAGAUGUACUACCUUUCAGUUCUGCGGAGCCACCUUGGUGAAAUCUGGAAGCUUUUCCUUCAGGAUCCCAGCUCCAGAGGGUGCUGGUGGAGGUGCUGCCGGCUUCGCUGAGCCGCAGGUGAAGGGCGCAUGUCGGCAGUGCUGGCCUUGGCUGCGGCCUUCGGGACACGUGACCGCGGACAGCAUAGGAGCCGGACAGCGCAGUGACGCCGGGUCUCACCGCGAGGAGCGGGGUGCCUCUGCUCGGGCUCGACGCCUUCCUUCCUACCUGGCCUGGCGCGUGGCGGCUGACCGGGGCAGAUGGCAUCGGCUGGAGACGCAGUCUGCCCAGCGGUGCGGGUGUAUUCCGCACCCGGGAGGCAGGGCGCCAGCACGGGCUUCUAAUGUGAGGAAAAACACGGAAUGACAAGUGUGGGAAAGAGCAAGUACUAAAUUACUGUCAGAAAAAUAAACGGAGUAGCACAGUGGUGCUCAGUGAUUUACGGGGGCAAUUAGUCACCACCCCAUGGCGCUGCUGAGGACAGCAAGGCAGCAGACACGUCAGGCCACAAGGAAGAAGAGACUGCGUGGCUCUCCAGACAACUUUUCAAACAACAAACAACAAGAAUGUGAGCGUAUUAGGUUCCAUGUCUUCGGUCUGGGUGCCUACCCUUCAUAUUUUUCUUCUAACUUAAUACAUAAAGGUAGCUGUAGCACAGUAUUAACAUUCCAUGUUAAAAAGCCUCCAACUACAGCUUUUUUCUCUCCUACUCUCCAGAGUAGGUUCUUUUCCAUCCCUUAAAAAACAAAAAACACUUCCUAUGCCCCGGUUGUUCCCCUAGUAUAUGCCUCUACUGUGUUUUAUUACUUCUUGCUAUCUGUGUUCCACAUUUGUGCAGAGCCACUGGCUACUAAGAAAUUUUAUCUGCAACUCCUCUGCAGAAGUUUGGUAAGGUGGUAUGAGCAGGUGACAAGGAAUGCAAAACACAGCAUCAAGGAAGACCAUUAACUUUUCUAUAUUUGUUAAUGUGUUCAUUAACAUACUCUAUAGUAUUUGCAUGUGUAACAGCAAAAUAAACCUCAGUGAGAAUUAAUUGGUGUUCAUUGCUUAAUAAAUAUCCACCAUCAGAAGAACCCUGAAUAGAAGUUUGGGAAUAACCCAGGAAACAGAAAGAGUACAUUGAUUAAAUGCCACUUGGUGAAGUGAAUAAACGAAAUUCAUCAAGAGUUUAGUACUCUUGAGUAAAUAUUUCUUAAGCAUUUUACAUGUUACAAAGGACAUAUAAUUCCUUUUCUCACUUGAUCUUGCUCUUGUUUUAGGCAGAGAUAUCUGCUGCGUUAGAAAUGUGUUUGAUAUGUAUGUUGGAGAAAGUACCCCAACAUGCUCUACAUUUGACCUCUAUUCUGGAGUCAUAAAGAGGCAGAACCGUAUUGAUGAGCUUGGUACCCAGCCUGGUGCACCAUUCAGCUGGACACUGGGUUUCUGCUAAAGAGGGUUACAGUGAAGAGAAUCUUUAGAUUUCUUUUGCUACUCUUUUGUUAUUCCAUUACUAAGGUUGGAUUUUAUAAACACAUUUUUAAAAACAAGUAAUAACAGUAAGACGAUAUAGGAUUGCAUAUUUGCAACUGCAGAGGCACUAGUUUUCAGAUGUUCUAAUGAAAAAUGAAAACCCAAUCAGGAGGGGAGGCAGACUUGCAACAUCACAGGCAUAUGAAGUUAUUCAGAUCUUAUGGAAAUACCAGGGAUAAUUCAACAUGGAAGUUUAACCAAAAUUACUUUUUAUCCAGAGAGUGCAUUUAAAAGUACAUCAAGUAUAUUUAGAUUUUUCUUUUUCUAAAGUUACCUUGUAGUUUCUGGUAGAGGAACAUACUGGGAAAAACUCCACAUAUAUAAAAAAAUGAAAUUUAAGAUAUAGCAUUAUAAAAAUAUCCCUACAUGGGGGCACAUUUUGAUGUACAUGUUAUUUUUGUUUAAAAAUUAUGAGGUAGUGAGGUGAAAGUGACCUUGGCUUUUAUAUUUAUUUAUUGAUAAAAGUGAUAGGCUUUAAUAUUCAGAUUCAAAUCUUUGCUAAUCAUGCAACCUAUGUACAUUUCAAAGAAAGGAUUUAGAUUGAAGAUUGGAAAUCAGAGACUGGGACUUCCUAUCUGCUCCUGUAUCUGUUUCCUCAGAGUAUUUAUGCAAUAUUCUGAUUUAGCUAUAAUAUAUAAUUCUUAGCUAUUAUUUCAGCUGUAACAAUUUUUAGAUUAAUGGUCAUAAUUUUGGUAAGGCAUACAUGAAAAGUUAUAUGUUCAUGCUUGAAAGGAUCAUUAAAUAUUCAUUAUCACUACUCAAAUUAGUUGUCAUGCUCUAUGUAACAGUUACCCAUUAUUUCACUAGUUUAGAUUCAGCAUUAAGUGAAUAGCCAACAUAUAUGGCUCAUAACCGUAGAGGAAUUUUGUGGGUAGAUGAGGGUCAGGGAAGGAAAUGAUUUUAAAAUCCAUUUGAUGUAUUUAUGUUGACAAAUUUUUUAAGAGUUACUGUGUUGUCAAUAAACAUGUUUGUUGGAAUAUGAUUGUGGCUAGCUUUGCUUUUAAUUACUCUAUGAUUGUGAAUAACAAUAUAUCUCCAAAUAGGAGGGAAGAAUUAUAAAGGUUGAGAUAUUUUAGUCUUUUGCACAUACCUAACAUUAUCAUAAUAAAG